GUUACAGCGUAGGGGUUGGGUCUGUAUGAGAUGCUCUUCAGAGGGUCAUUGUGGACUCAAUGGGCCAAAUGGGCUUUUAUAAUUCCAUGAUUCUACCAGGUUCAUAUCCAUUGGUCAUCUCCAAUUCCUUCCUCAGAGGCCUAAUUUCACCAAUGGAAAAGAUCUUGUGUGAAGAUAAUGUUGUAACAUCUUCUCUGAUAAAUGCUUAUAAAGCAGAAAGGAUCUAUGCCUUGAAGACAAGUUGGAAAAAGCUUUGAAUACUUUUCCAGUGGAGGCUGAAAAUUACUCCCGAUAUUGGCAGCCCAGCACUUAACUGCAUCUGUGCGAUGAAUCCUUGUCUGUUGUUUAAGCAGAUACUGUGUUUCAAUUAUUUUAGACUGAUUAACUGUUAAAAGAUACAAUAAAGAACUGUCAUAUAUUUAUAUCAAAUUUGUCUGUUAAUAUUACUUCAGUGCCUUCAAGCAUUUUAGUCAAAUGUGGAAUGUAUAAAUCAAGUCAUGGGGAUUACAAUGAUAAGUUGUAAUAACUAUAUGCUCGCAACAAUCAAAUAUAUUUUUCUUCCUAGCAUUCACUUUGCUUUAAUACAGUGGAAAAAUGUUCAAACUGCAACUGCAAUGCUGUACAAUAAAUUCUUCAUUUUAAAUAUAAGGUAUAAUGAGACCUUUAUAAUAAGGACCCUUGAAAUUGCCUUCAGGUGGUCUCUGUAGAUUCAAAAAUGCCUAAA
Non-coding RNA from Chiloscyllium plagiosum (whitespotted bambooshark), 724 nucleotides. The record is from RefSeq and is a predicted model, not a curated record. Lineage: Eukaryota; Metazoa; Chordata; Chondrichthyes; Orectolobiformes; Hemiscylliidae.